CUGCUGCCUCCCGUAGGAGUUUGGGCCGUGUCUCAGUCCCAAUGUGGCCGUCCACCCUCUCAGGCCGGCUACUGAUCGUCGCCUUGGUGGGCCGUUACCUCACCAACUAGCUAAUCAGACGCGGGUCCAUCUUACACCACCUCAGUUUUUCACACUCGACCAUGCGGUCCUGUGCGCUCAUGCGGUAUUAGCACCUAUUUCUAAGUGUUAUCCCCCUGUGUAAGGCAGGUUACCCACGCGUUACUCACCCGUCCGCCA
RNAcentral lists this ribosomal RNA (258 nucleotides) under uncultured bacterium. Its description in RNAcentral is "partial 16S ribosomal RNA". The record is from RNAcentral.